This is a long non-coding RNA of Anas platyrhynchos (mallard), 5065 nucleotides long. RefSeq lists it as uncharacterized. The record is from RefSeq and is a predicted model, not a curated record. NCBI's taxonomy places the organism in Eukaryota, Metazoa, Chordata, Aves, Anseriformes, Anatidae.
UUUUUUUAAGGCUUCCUCUCAGUUCAGCAGCUCGGGAACUUUCUGUAUUGCAACAAAAACUCCUCUGAGAAGAUCUCUGAGACUCUAGGAAAUAUCUUUUGCCCCAUCACUGAGGCCUGGCUGUGUGUCUGCUCUUCUCAGCAGUUUGCCAGCCUUUGCCUAUGAUGCAGGCUCUAUGCCUGCUGAGUUCUCCUCAUUCUCUCAGUGUGAGUUCUCCCACAUGUUGCUUGGUGAUUCGUUAUUUUAAUGUGAUUGCUCUUUAAUUGGAUUCUUAGAUUAUAGAGUAUCUAAAAAAUUCACCUGAAAAAUGGCAGAGGCUGAUAAGAGGGGAGAUAUCUGGUGGGUGAGGGGAGGAGGUGUUAAAAGAUGUAAACUGUCAGAGGAAGUUCAUUUUAAAACGAGCUUGGCACCGAAUGAAUGUGGUGAAAGAACACCAUGAAGAAAAGUCUCUGGCCAAGUCUUUGGGGUUGGUUUCUUUGUUGUUUUUUUUUUUCUUUAGCUUUAGUGCUUAAUCCCAUAUAAAUUGCAUUUGGCGUUACUGGAAGAACUGGCUGGCAGAGAAGAUCGGUAUGGCUGUCAGAAAAGGACAAAAUAAUGAGGAUCUUCAGAAGGGACUAGAGGGCACAAGAUAAGAAAAGCUACAAGAGGUACAGAAGCAAAAAGCAUUGUCAGAAAGAGAAACUUGAAUGAACAGAGAUUAUCUUAAAUGAUAAGUUUGUUUUGUAGUAACAUUGGAAAUACAGUAAGAAAUUUCAUUCUAUAUUGCACACUGACUCUUCAAGAAAGAUGAUUUGCAUGUAGGAAAGAAAUUUUCUGGACUGUCCGCAUAGAAAAUGGUGCAGACUUUGUAGGCACCCUGAGCCUCAGGCAGCUAUGCAAAGGAGAGCCCCAGCCCAACCCACAGUCCUCAGCAGCAGCAGAUCUGUGGCUGUGCAUCUGCCAGAGUAGAUGCCCCGCCACCAGGGCUGAGAUGGUGAAACAGAGCCCUGGUCAUGCUGUGGAGACAGUAGGCUGCUGGCAGUUUAUGACAGGGGAUGAUCCGGGUGCAAAGGGAGAGUCCCCAGCCCGUUCAUCACAGUGGCAGGUUGAAGCCCCAGAGAGGCCAGUGUCACACUGCAGCUAUGCGCGUAGGAAGCUCUGAGAGCUGCUCCCUAAUGAGCCCACAGCGUGCCAGUCUUUGGAUUGGCAUGAGCCAACCAUUUGGGUUUUAAUCUCUUCUUCUGCACGCAUAGUGACUAUUCAUGAGAGGAUUACUAUGAAGUGCCCUGAAACUAAAUGGCAUGUUUAGGAUCUCAUGGCUAUGUGAAUAAAAGCUGCAGGCCAGCUUGGAUAGCACAAGCAAUGUGCAGCCUUAUUCACAUUUUCCAUAAAGAAUAUCAAAUACCUUGAAGAUCAAGUACUCAGUGGCAAGCUCAUGCUCCCAUGUCCCCAAACUCAAAAUGCAACAUCAGUUCUAAAAGUUCAGUUGCCACUGCUAGUAUGCAAAUGAAAUACCUCGUAUGGGUGUCACCUCUUCAAGAUCACCUUGUUCUUAUAGAUCAGGAAGUCCGGCAACGGGAGCAGGUAAUCACAUCAGCUGAGAAAGUAGACAAGCCAGUAUCUUCUGCAGAUCUAAUUUUUAAAAAUGUUUUAGCAAGCAUGUGCCUGCCUGGAUUUACCCUGUAAGACAAUAUAAUACCCAGCUAUGUAACUGCAGGGUUACUGCUUGCCAAAAUAAGACUCCUGUAAAGCUGAAGUUUUGCAGGUACUUCAGGCUCACCAUCAUCUCCAGAGCCUAUUUUGCAGUGCUUCACAGUUAAAGUUACACAGAUGCACUCAGCAAAACCAGAUCCCUUCCACUUGGGGUGAGGGGAGCAGAGGCACAGCAGCUAACUGCCAGCCUAAAGAGAGAGGAAAGUGAGUCACGGUCAUGAAAUAGGUCACUUCUACUCCGUGUGAACUCGCUUCUCUAGCACUCAGGUUGGUUUCUGUAAUAGGGAACGGUCUGGGCUCGAGCAUGCUUCUGGGCUUGCUGCUUCUGCUCCAGAUAAAUGGAAAAACGUAAGGAAAUAACUGCUCUUUAAAAAGUGGGUGUUUCCAGCUGAUGAAUAUAUGACUGUGGGUUCUAGAGAAAUUGUUCUAACUUCCACCGAUUGAACAUGUGGUUUAGUUUUGUUUCAUGCAUCUAUGUAGCUUCUUUAAAAAAAAAAAAAAAAAAAAAAACUCUGUAGCAGCUGCACUGGCUUCUGCUAAUAUUUGCUUCCCUAACAGAAAAACCUAAGCAGUUCAGCAAAAGAUGAAAACCCUUUUCUUUAUUUUUAUUUCAAAUCAUGUCUUUGAAACGCGAGUUCCUGCUGGAAGAUAGAACACAAGCUUAUCUAUAGCGAGUGGGAGGUUGUGUUGUUAGACCUUCUUUCAGGAAGCCUCUUUGACCCCACACAGGAUAUUUUACAACGUUUGAAGAUUUAGAGAUGAUAGCAAUAUUUUUUCCAGGAAAUUUCUCAAAGAAGAGGGAGGGGUAUCAUUAUGGUCGUUGUUUUGUUGCAGCAGAUAGACCGCUGUCUGGAGACACUGUCCUUGCUGGAAAAUUGAUUAAGGUUCAGUUUGAAAAAUAGGCACUUCCUCUCCUUUUAGUUACCAUAUUAGGUUUUCAAAAAGGGAAAAAAAAAAAAAUCUUGUUUCUCAUGUUCCUGUUACUUCCCUAUGUCACAACCACUUACUGAACGUGAAGCAAGCUGCUGCUGCUUUUUUACCUCCCCCUCUAGGAAACAGUUGCUUUAGGACUGAUUCUGGUAACCUGAUACCACUUGAUGUAUUUUUGCUGGAAUAUGGAGCCUACAUAAAUUGCACCAUAAGCAAAUUUCUUUAUAAUGGAAGGAUCAGGAAGCUGCAGCUUGGCAGGCCAUUUCAUUGGUGUGUUUUUUUUAAGGUGGAUUUUCCAGACACUUUUUAACAGAUGAUACUGCAGACUUUUGCAAAAGGUAUUAGGAAUAUACAAUUGUCACUGUUUGGAUGGAGCGUCCCACCUGUAGACUAAGUGCCUUAUACUCAAAAAAGAUGCUGUCUGCCUGCCAGAUACCAUUCUACAACUGAAAGAAAAGCUGUUGUUGUUUACUGAAUGUGCCUAGCUAUUUACAUGUAUUACCAGUGUCACACGAAUCCAAAGACCCUUGCUGAAAGCAACUCCCAUCUUCACAUGGUCUCAAGUACAGGCAACAAAGUUAGUCCCUUCCUGCAGAUGUGAACUUGGAAAGAAAAAAAAAAAAAAAUAGAAAAAGAAGCAUCUCACCGAAACAUCCUUCCUUUCUGACUGGGACACAGCAGGUGGCACAGGGACUUCUUUGGAUCCAGGAUGGGGAGAUGUUGGCAACUCUGCAAUGCAGCGUGAUGCAGGCGGGGGUCCUUCCAGCACUAAUCCCCUAAAGGAGCUGAAACAGAGUUUCAGGCAGGAGCAUUUCUUCUCAUCUGUUACAGCUAGAGCAAGAUGAACCAAACCAGCUGGAUCCGCUGCAUGCUGAGUGCAGCCCAGGACUCCCCUGCAGUUUUACCCUGCUGUCCUUCCCCAGUAAACUGAGCCUGUACUCCAAACUUUUUGUUUGUUUGUUUUACAUUGCUUGCAUUGGAAGUGAUGUUUAUUCAAGGAGCCAGAGGGAGACUGAAACCCUUUGGGCAUCCUCAGGGCAUAUGUGGCAAGUGUCACUGUGAGAGAAGCUUCCCCAGGCUGCUUUGCCAGCACAUGCCUGGAUCCUGCAGGGCUUCACCUCUGAUGGCAGAGGAGAAGCAGAGCCUCGAGGCUCCCUUAUUCCCUUGAGGAUAUUGCCAGCCAGGGUGCCAGACGGCCUGGACAGUUGCCUGUAGCACCAAUGCCAUAGCUGCUAACCAAACUGCCCCAGGUGAGGAGGCAGCAGGCGGGUAAAGCAGCACCGCCCACAGGUCCCACCAUCAUGGGCUGUGCUUCAGCUGGUGGGAGGCUUCCUGUCCUCUCACUAGAGCUUGUGCUUUUAGUCUGACACAGGCUGAGGUGCUGGGGGAUGCUCUGAGCUCUGCAGACCAUGCAAGCUCUGUCACUAUGUCACGCAAAGGGCAGAGCUCCCUUACAACCCAAUAAAGCUCCCAGACCACUCAGACUUGGUUAUGGUGUCACUGCACUAUUAUAUGUCACCAGGAUGGUGCACAGGAGUCCACCAGCCUUCCCUCUCACUGCAGCAUGGGGAUGCACGUUGCAUGUGGCUGAGCUGUUCAUCAGGCUGCACGGCACAGGAAUUUCUCCUGAUAAGGUAAACCCUUGCGAUCUGCCCAGAAACAGAGCCUGGCCUGCAGGAGGAAAGGAAGAAGAUUCCCACGGUAUUCCUUUCACUGGAAAGAAUGCUGCCAAGCCACCAGGUUGGAGCAAGCACGAGAUGCAGGGCAGGAAGGCAGCUCUUGUCUUAUCAGCCGUAGGCCGCCACCUCAGGAGCCCUUUGUCAUAGCAUGACACAUGUGAAGGGCUCACCAUGCAUCAGAAAGGCUUCUGGGUUUGGGCUUCUUCUGCUAAACAGCUUGUAUGGUGAUGAAUGAGUGCUUUAAACUUACAGCACGUUGCUUCAUUCAUCUCCACAACUAAGCAAUUCCUAACAGGAAUUUCACUGGGCUCUCUGGAAACUCAGUGCUCAUAAAUCACCUUGAGAGCCUUUCCUCAAAGGCCGUAAGAUGCAAAACAUUUUUUCUUGUUAUGUACAAAUAGUGUAAAAAGCAUAACUCCAGGUUGUAAAUCCACAGCCUAGUGAUAAAGACCAACCCAAAUUCACACUGCUCAGGGUUUGUCUACCCUGGAGCAGGCUGGCCACAUCCACUCUGUAGUGCCUUUGGCCUGGGUGUCCUCUAGGUCCCAUGUACCAUAAUCAUGGCUAUGAAACUUAGCUUUUCUUUCACAUGUAACUCCUUUGUUACCUACUCUUUGGUCUUAUGCAUUAACUAUUCAAAAAAAAAAAAAAGUAUAUCAUUAAAAAGCCCCCUUUAAAACACAUGUUUAGAACAUGUGGCAAUCUGGUUUCCCUAAGCAAAAGUCACCUCUGCUGCUUGCUAACUGCUAAGGAAGAGUUGCUCU